UCAGGCUUCGCUUCUAGUUGG
RNAcentral lists this non-coding RNA (21 nucleotides) under Caenorhabditis elegans. Lineage: Eukaryota; Metazoa; Nematoda; Chromadorea; Rhabditida; Rhabditidae. The record is from RNAcentral.